GGAUGUGUAGCUCAGUGGUUGAGUACAUCCUUUGUAUGUAUGAAGUCUUGUGUUUGACAUCAAGCAUGUUCA
Molecule: transfer RNA, 72 nt
Filed under: Erinaceus europaeus (western European hedgehog)
Lineage: Eukaryota; Metazoa; Chordata; Mammalia; Eulipotyphla; Erinaceidae
Rfam family: tRNA
About the family: Transfer RNA (tRNA) molecules are approximately 80 nucleotides in length. Their secondary structure includes four short double-helical elements and three loops (D, anti-codon, and T loops). Further hydrogen bonds mediate the characteristic L-shaped molecular structure. tRNAs have two regions of fundamental functional importance: the anti-codon, which is responsible for specific mRNA codon recognition, and the 3' end, to which the tRNAs corresponding amino acid is attached (by aminoacyl-tRNA synthetases). tRNAs cope with the degeneracy of the genetic code in two manners: having more than one tRNA (with a specific anti-codon) for a particular amino acid; and 'wobble' base-pairing, i.e. permitting non-standard base-pairing at the 3rd anti-codon position.
Source: Rfam by way of RNAcentral